Long non-coding RNA from Diachasmimorpha longicaudata, 3912 nucleotides. RefSeq lists it as uncharacterized. The transcript is spliced from 3 exons. The record is from RefSeq and is a predicted model, not a curated record. Lineage: Eukaryota; Metazoa; Arthropoda; Insecta; Hymenoptera; Braconidae.
UCAUGGUAUUAAGUGUUUAGACCACAAGCACAGCCUCCUCCAUUCGACAUUAGAAGUAAUAAAAUUCACACAUUAUCGAACACCUAUUGUUCCACAGAUCAGUGGAGAUAAAUUAUUAUUAUUCAACUCGCGAUAUCAAUCGCUAUUCUAUUUUCAGUGAUGCGUCUGGUGGAUUUGCAAUGUUGAUUGGGGCAUAAACUUUGAGGUUAACAUGUUUAUCAUCGAAAGUGCCUAGUUAUGAUAAUAGAACAGGAGGAGUGACGAAAAUACGUAAAUCAAGAUGCGAUCGAGGGGAGUGGGGCGGAGAGGGGGGGGGGGAGGAAGAUUGUUCGGCAUGGGAUCGUGAUUUAUACGCUCACUUUUAACUCUUUAAACUGGUAAAAGGAGAAUUCAUGAUGAAAAAAAGAAUAACAAAAAACUAAAAAUAGAGAAAUAUUCAGUUGGUAACUGCUAUGAUGCUGCGGGAAGUUGUACGACAGAUUUGUGGUUAAAACAGCAAAACCUUGAGCUCUCUUGAAACUUCCGAGAACACACACACAUACAUAUACAUACACACGAAUGGCUUCUGACAUCGAGCGUAUUUGAGCUUUUGGCAUGGGUGAAAAUAGAUGAUAGUUGAAGUAUGAUUUACGAUAAACCACGUUGAUCUAAUGGUAUCAAUCUCUCGUUGUCAUUUCUCACUCUCCAACUCCUGAAAAUACACAUCUCCAAAUUUAUCUCAGUGCCCGAAAAUUAGUAUGUAAUGAAAUAACAUCAACCUUGGAGAAUAAAUUGUAUCUGGUUCUAUUCACCACUAGAUGCCAAGCUCAUUUCCACCCGAAUCAGGGAGUUUGAUUAUCAGCAUUUUGCCAUCUCCAAGCCACCUACUGGCCCGCGGAGGAGCCAUCAAUUCGUGGAUUUCAUUAAUUAAUUGAUUACAUUGGAGACAAGACAUAGAGUUUUGUGAUCUCGAUGGAGAACUUUCACGACUGAAUGAUGAAUCGCCUCGUUAAAAUCUAAUGCCCACGCGCGUCCACUCUCUCACUCCAGUGAAUUUUACUGUCUCCAUUCAACCUCAUUCUCCAGUAUUUCGCUGAAAAAGCCACGAAUCUGUUUGAUCCCGUGGCUUUUUCCCCGCUGUUGUGGAUCUUUUUUUUAUGAUUCAUCAAACGAGUAAUUAAUCAUUCCCUCUUUUCAAAGUUACACAUUCCCUUAUUGAAGGUUGGAGGGGCCCGUACUUGUGUAUCUCUCGAUGUGUGCAUUGACGUCUGUUGCUAAGUGCUUUGGGAAAAACUGCGGCUACUAAAAAUUGUGUAAUUGCAGAAAACACUGUCGAGCAGUUGGCAAAUUUGAAUGGGAAUGCGAGAGGGGCUUUCAAAGCCCCGAACCAACCCCAGAAGGAGAGAAUGAAAAAAAAAAAAAAAGAGAGUGCUCUACAUACAGUUUAAUGAGAGCUGAAUUAACAAAAAUUGCGGUGUGUGUUUUUUUGGCAGAUGUAUGCACACAAAGUUACAAAGGACAUAGACGAUAUAUUUCCGCUCAGGCGCAGCGCCAAAAGAGACGCCAACACAUGCUUCGAAUUAUAAGGGAAUUAGGGACUGCGAAAGGUUUAAUUUGUUUUCACAUACCGUAGUAAUAGCAUUGAGGCAUGGCGAGAGAGUGAGAGGGACAAGGAGAGGAUGUGAAGGGAUGAAAGGGAAUUGAAAGGAUCCUUCCUUCGGUGGCGUUACGUCACGGGUGGUCGGUGGACAGUUUCACUUUGGGUCUGCCGCCAUCAUUGCCGGGGAGGUAUAUUACCCCUGUGCGCGCACGUUUAUAUUCCUGAGCCCUCGGUGGGCAAUGCGCAGGGAUGAUGCUUGCGAUUUAUGUCGACGCUGGUGUGCGGUGAACGCUUGCGGUUGUAGGGGGCGGCCAAGAGCAAAGGGCUGAAGGACAAACGGAUACGGUCGGCGUACGCUCAAGUUGCCUUGCUCAAUGUGUCCAGGAUGAUUUAGCAGUUGAACUUUACUACAGCACUUCUCCACUUGCAACCUGUCUUCUCUGUAAGUCAAUGAGAGUAAUACUUUGCUUGAAUAAUAGCCUCUCCCUUUUAGUCGAAAUUUGAGUGCUUUCGAGUAAUGAACUUGGUGGUGGAUGUUUGGUGAUCAUUGAAUUUUCUCUCGUGAUCGUCGACGUGUGUUAUUUGUCGAUUUAUUAUCGCAACUUGGCUUAUCUUCCCAGUGAGCAAACUACUCAACUUGUACAGCACGAAUUUCUUUUAUACUUUCUCGGUGGAAAGAUACGGGGAGUAAAAAAUAAUAGAUAACCCUCAACAAAAUUUUAUGAACAACCGUUCAACUCACCGGGCAAAAUUGUUGCACGCGAAUGACCGUGGGGCGAUUAGAUUUACGGCGAAACCGUGGUCUGAGUCUUCCAUGUGAGAGACUUUAGAAAAGUACAACCGCACCGAGAGCCUCUGCAUCUUUACGACACACCGAGGAAAACAGGUCCAGUGCUUCUGACCCAUAUGAAGUAAAAGAAAAUAGAACAAAUUUUCGAUUUUUAUUAGCUCAGUGGAAAAGUUGACUGCACACACAUACGGUGGUCACACUUAUUCGCCAACUCCCCUUUAACUAGAAUUGGCAAUUUCAGGAAACGCGUUCAUCACUGGCCGCUGCAAACCAAGGAGCCGAGUGAUAUACGAGGCAUUGCAAUUCCACUCGAUCCCUCAGUAUAUCCCAGCGUCUUAGUAGCACACCGUGUCCUUUCUCACACCCUCCUAAGAGCACUACGGUCUCAACCAGAGUUUCAAUCACAACGCCCACAAGGGGAUUCAGCCUCGUCAUCCACCCCACUGUUGACCUUUGUCCAACCAACUCCGCCCUCUCUAGCACAUAACAAUGACAAUCGGCAAUCCCUUUACUUCUCUAAUUAAACAUUUCAAUAUUUUCCUUGGGAUCAAUGGAGAACUAAUCAAAGAUUUAAUCAGUGAGAGAGUAAUCAAGUUAACAAAACCUUCAUGGAAACAGUGAAGACCCUGUGCUAAUCAAAUUUAUUCGCUGGGUAAAAAUACAGCGAGGGACCUGGAUUGUGCCGCUGCUACGGGAAAAGAUCCGAGAUAUCCACCUGCACCGAUGCUAUGGGAGAUGCGUCAGGCGUUUGUGAACGUUCAAAUGCAAUCAGAGAGAUGAGGCAGUACUACAAAUGAGAAAUUGCUUACGAAAUGAUUGAAAAAUAGCUGACCACCGUGGAAUUUGUAGAAUCUGGCGUUUGCAAGAUCUUCACACGGCCGACAAACUUGACGUCUACACUUCCCAUGACAAAGUAAACGAAACUCCUAAGUAUACGUGUAUUUGUUGGGUAGAUGAGCAGAGGACUAUUAAAGUGAUGUUUAUAUGCGGUGCACGGUAGGCGCUAUUAUAUGCAUAUUAUCCAUCCACUCGGCGAUGCCCCCACGAUGCGAUGAAGGCAAUCCCAUGUGUUGUAAUAAUGCGAGAUUCUUCAAAUCCACAUCAACUGUCACCUCAGUAAUUUCUCUGCCAACUUUUACAUGUUAUAAAGUAUCAAAAUAAAGGCUGAGUGGAAGUGGUAGCUUCGUCUGACAUUUACAAUCGGCCAUUUCAUCUUCAAAUUUUCGUGGGUGUGAUAUACAGACUCGCAGUUGAUAUACAUUACUCUCACUAUGUCUCUUCAUUACAUACAUACAUUAACGAACAAUGACCCGCAACUGUCGCCUCAAAAACUCCCGUGAAAUUCUCAACUUUUGUACAGAUUUUCGAGGAAAACAUUUUCAUUCGUUGGAAAUGCAGUCUGCAAAAUUUCAGGUAAAGCCAAUUGGUCGCACAGUUUAUCCCGUCAACUGUACAUCCUGGCCUAGUGGUUUUAGAGAGGAUAAAAGGACUGGUCAGAAGUUUGUAAUGUUGCAGCCAGAUUAAUCGAAUUUCUCUCAAAAUG